UGGUUCUGGCAUCGAUGAAGAACGCAGCGAAAUGCGAUACGUAAUGUGAAUUGCAGAAUUCAGUGAAUCAUCGAAUCUUUGAACGCACAUUGCGCCUAAGAGUAUUCUUUUAGGCAUGCUUGUUCGAGCGUCGUUUAACAUUCUAAGACUUUGUCUUUUGUUGAUAUAUUGGAUUUUCUUUGGGGAAAGUUCAAGUAUCUAAAUAUGUUGGCAAAUUGAAAAUGACUUGAUACGCAGCGAAAUGCGAUUGAAACUCAUAAAGAAAAUUUGGCCAGUUUCUCUACAAAAGUUCGACCUCGAAUCAAGUAAGAUUACCCGCUGA
This 322-nucleotide unclassified non-coding RNA is filed under the name uncultured fungus. RNAcentral describes it as "partial contains 5.8S ribosomal RNA and internal transcribed spacer 2". The stretch from base 1 to 133 matches the Rfam family "5.8S ribosomal RNA", at positions 22 to 154 of the family's 154-position model. The record is from RNAcentral. Lineage: Eukaryota; Fungi.